GGAGGGUGCAAGCGUUAAUCGGAAUUACUGGGCGUAAAGCGCACGCAGGCGGUCUGUUAAGUCAGAUGUGAAAUCCCCGGGCUCAACCUGGGAACUGCAUUUGAAACUGGCAGGCUUGAGUCUUGUAGAGGGGGGUAGAAUUCCAGGUGUAGCGGUGAAAUGCGUAGAGAUCUGGAGGAAUACCGGUGGCGAAGGCGGCCCCCUGGACAAAGACUGACGCUCAGGUGCGAAAGCGUGGGGAGCAAAC
RNAcentral lists this ribosomal RNA (247 nucleotides) under uncultured Enterobacteriaceae bacterium. RNAcentral's name for it is "partial 16S ribosomal RNA". It matches the Rfam family "Bacterial small subunit ribosomal RNA", at positions 527 to 773 of the family's 1533-position model. Lineage: Bacteria; Pseudomonadati; Pseudomonadota; Gammaproteobacteria; Enterobacterales; Enterobacteriaceae. The record is from RNAcentral.